RNAcentral lists this ribosomal RNA (429 nucleotides) under uncultured archaeon. RNAcentral describes it as "bacterial SSU rRNA". It matches the Rfam family "Archaeal small subunit ribosomal RNA", at positions 474 to 903 of the family's 1478-position model. The record is from RNAcentral.
UACCAGCUCUCCGAGUGGUAGGGAUGAUUAUUGGGCUUAAAGCGUCCGUAGCCGGCUUAGCAAGUUUCCUGUUAAAUUCAGCGACCUAAUCGUUGAGCCGCGGGAAAUACUGCUAGGCUAGGAGGCGGGAGAGGUCGACGGUACUUCUGGGGUAGGGGUGAAAUCCUAUAAUCCCGGGAGGACCACCAGUGGCGAAGGCUGUCGACUAGAACGCGCUCGACGGUGAGGGACGAAAGCUGGGGGAGCGAACCGGAUUAGAUACCCGGGUAGUCCCAGCUGUAAACGAUGCGGGCUAGGUGUUGGGGUGGCUACGUGCCACUUCAGUGCCGCAGGGAAGCCAUUAAGCCCGCCGCCUGGGGAGUACGGCCGCAAGGCUGAAACUUAAAGGAAUUGGCGGGGGAGCACCACAAGGCGUGAAGCUUGCGGUUC